RNAcentral lists this transfer RNA (76 nucleotides) under Methanosphaerula palustris E1-9c. RNAcentral describes it as "tRNA-Asp". It matches the Rfam family "tRNA". Rfam says of the family: Transfer RNA (tRNA) molecules are approximately 80 nucleotides in length. Their secondary structure includes four short double-helical elements and three loops (D, anti-codon, and T loops). Lineage: Archaea; Methanobacteriati; Methanobacteriota; Methanomicrobia; Methanomicrobiales; Methanoregulaceae. The record is from RNAcentral.
GCCCAGGUAGUGUAGUGGCCUAUCAUGAUGCCCUGUCACGGCAUCGACUCGGAUUCGAAUUCCGACCUGGGCGUCA